RNAcentral lists this non-coding RNA (117 nucleotides) under Homo sapiens (human). The record is from Rfam by way of RNAcentral. Lineage: Eukaryota; Metazoa; Chordata; Mammalia; Primates; Hominidae.
GCCAGGCGUGGUGGCUCACGCCUGUAAUCCCAGCACUUUGGGAGGCAGAGGCGGGUGGAUCACCUGAGGUCAGGGGUUUGAGACCAGCCUGACCAACACGGAGAAACCCCGUCUCUA